This 97-nucleotide small nucleolar RNA is filed under the name Phaseolus vulgaris (common bean). RNAcentral's name for it is "snoRNA snoZ43". It matches the Rfam family "Small nucleolar RNA Z43". Rfam says of the family: Z43 is a member of the C/D class of snoRNA which contain the C (UGAUGA) and D (CUGA) box motifs. Most of the members of the box C/D family function in directing site-specific 2'-O-methylation of substrate RNAs. Lineage: Eukaryota; Viridiplantae; Streptophyta; Magnoliopsida; Fabales; Fabaceae. The record is from Rfam by way of RNAcentral.
GGACUGUGACGAUUUCUGUGAUAAGGUUUGUUCAUCGUAGUUGACCAAAUCGGCCUUGCUGACUAUUCUGCUAUAUCACCACCCAGGUUCUGAGUCC